RNAcentral lists this ribosomal RNA (896 nucleotides) under Bacillus pumilus. RNAcentral's name for it is "bacterial SSU rRNA". It matches the Rfam family "Bacterial small subunit ribosomal RNA", at positions 1 to 878 of the family's 1533-position model. Lineage: Bacteria; Bacillati; Bacillota; Bacilli; Caryophanales; Bacillaceae. The record is from RNAcentral.
AUAARGAGUUUURUUUGWGUGGUUCAGGAASGAACGCUGGCGGCGUGCCUUAAUACAUGCCAAGUCGAGCGGACAGAAGGGAGCUUGCUCCCGGAUGUUAAGCGGCGGACGGGUGAGUAACACGUGGGUAACCUGCCUGUAAGACUGGGAUAACUCCGGGAAACCGGAGCUAAUACCGGAUAGUUCCUUGAACCGCAUGGUUCAAGGAUGAAAGACGGUUUCGGCUGUCACUUACAGAUGGACCCGCGGCGCAUUAGCUAGUUGGUGAGGUAACGGCUCACCAGGCGACGAUGCGUAGCCGACCUGAGAGGGUGAUCGGCCACACUGGGACUGAGACACGCCCAGACUCCUACGGGAGGCAGCAGUAGGGAAUCUUCCGCAAUGGACGAAAGUCUGACGGAGCAACGCCGCGUGAGUGAUGAAGGUUUUCGGAUCGUAAAGCUCUGUUGUUAGGGAAGAACAAGUGCAAGAGUAACUGCUUGCACCUUGACGGUACCUAACCAGAAAGCCCGGCUAACUACGUGCCAGCAGCCGCGGUAAUACGUAGGUGGCAAGCGUUGUCCGGAAUUAUUGGGCGUAAAGGGCUCGCAGGCGGUUUCUUAAGUCUGAUGUGAAAGCCCCCGGCUCAACCGGGGAGGGUCAUUGGAAACUGGGAAACUUGAGUGCAGAAGAGGAGAGUGGAAUUCCACGUGUAGCGGUGAAAUGCGUAGAGAUGUGGAGGAACACCAGUGGCGAAGGCGACUCUCUGGUCUGUAACUGACGCUGAGGAGCGAAAGCGUGGGGAGCGAACAGGAUUAGAUACCCUGGUAGUCCACGCCGUAAACGAUGAGUGCUAAGUGUUAGGGGGUUUCCGCCCCUUAGUGCUGCAGCUAACGCAUUAAGCACUCCGCCUGGGA